CCAAUAGCGUAUAUUAAAGUUGUUGCAGUUAAAAAGCUCGUAGUUGAAUUUCAGGCCUGGCUGGACGGUCCGCCCUUCGGGUGAGUACUGUCUGUGGUCGGGUCCUACCUUCUGGCGAAGCGUCAUGGCCUUAACCGGCCGUGGCGGGGAACCAGGACUUUUACUGUGAAAAAAUUAGAGUGUUCAAAGCAGGCAAUCGCUUGGAUACAUUAGCAUGGAAUAAUGGAAUAGGACAAUGGUUCUAUUUGUUGGUUUCUAGGACCGUUGUAAUGAUUAAUAGGGAUAGUUGGGGGCAUUAGUAUUCAAUUGUCAGAGGUGAAAUUCUUGGAUUUAUUGAAGACUAACUACUGCGAAAGCAUUUGCCAAGGAUGUUUUCAUUAAUCAAGAACGAAAGUUAGGGGAUCGAAGACGAUCAGAUACCGUCGUAGUCUUAACCAUAAACUAUGCCGACUAGGAAUCGGGCGAUGUUGAAAAAAUGACGCGCCCGGCACCUCAUG
Molecule: ribosomal RNA, 497 nt
Filed under: uncultured Glomeromycotina
Lineage: Eukaryota; Fungi; Glomeromycota
Description: partial small subunit ribosomal RNA
Rfam family: Eukaryotic small subunit ribosomal RNA
Source: RNAcentral